Molecule: ribosomal RNA, 511 nt
Filed under: uncultured bacterium
Lineage: Bacteria
Description: bacterial SSU rRNA
Rfam family: Bacterial small subunit ribosomal RNA
Source: RNAcentral
GACGAACGCUGGCGGCGUGCCUAACACAUGCAAGUCGAGCGGGGUUGAAGCGAGAGGUAACUCGAGUUUCUACCUAGCGGCGGACGGGUGAGUAACGCGUGGGCAACCUGCCUCAAGGUCUGGGAUAACAGCCCGAAAGGGCUGCUAAUACCGGGUAUGCUUGUGGCCUCGCAUGGGGCUACGAGCAAAGGGGAAACCCGCCUUGAGAUGGGCCCGCGUCCCAUCAGCUAGUUGGUGAGGUAACAGCUCACCAAGGCGACGACGGGUAGCCGGCCUGAGAGGGUGACCGGCCACACUGGGACUGAGACACGGCCCAGACUCCUACGGGGGGCAGCAGUGGGGGAUCUUGCACAAUGGGCGAAAGCCUGAUGCAGCGACGCCGCGUGAGCGAAGAAGGCCUGGUUGUAAGACUCUGUCUGGAGGGACGGAAGGAAGGUGGACGGUACCGUCCGGACGGAAGGACCGACGGCGUAACCUAACGUGCCGAGCAGCCGCGGUAACGUGUAGUCGU